GAUUAGCCUGCGUCCGAUUAGCUAGUUGGUGGGGUAAAGGCCUACCAAGGCGACGAUCGGUAGCUGGUCUGAGAGGAUGGCCAGCCACACUGGAACUGAGACACGGUCCAGACUCCUACGGGAGGCAGCAGUGGGGAAUAUUGGACAAUGGGGGCAACCCUGAUCCAGCAAUGCCGCGUGUGUGAAGAAGGCCUGAGGGUUGUAAAGCACUUUCAGUGGGGAGGAGGAUAUUUAGGUUAAGAGCUAGAAUAUUGGACGUUACCCACAGAAGAAGCACCGGCUAACUCCGUGCCAGCAGCCGCGGUAAUACGGAGGGUGCGAGCGUUAAUCGGAAUUACUGGGCGUAAAGAGUGCGUAGGUGGUUGGCUAAGUUAUCUGUGAAGUCCCUGGGCUUAACCUGGGCAGGUCAGAUAAUACUGGUUGACUCGAGUAUGGGAGAGGGUAGUGGAAUUUCCGGUGUAGCGGUGAAAUGCGUAGAGAUCGGAAGGAGCACCAGUGGCGAAGGCGGCUACCUGGCCUAAUACUGACACUGAGGCACGAAAGCGUGGGGAGCAAACAGGAUUAGAUACCCUGGUAGUCCACGCUGUAAACGAUGUCAACUAGCUGUUGG
This 610-nucleotide ribosomal RNA is filed under the name uncultured Legionella sp. RNAcentral describes it as "bacterial SSU rRNA". It matches the Rfam family "Bacterial small subunit ribosomal RNA", at positions 224 to 826 of the family's 1533-position model. Lineage: Bacteria; Pseudomonadati; Pseudomonadota; Gammaproteobacteria; Legionellales; Legionellaceae. The record is from RNAcentral.